UAACCAAAUGGUCACAUUUUACUGCAUGACAAUAUGACACUAUUGAUCACUUUGAUUGUAGUUUGAUUGACAAAUAAUCAAAUUGUCACAAACUGCCUAUAAAUGUUAAUUAGAUCAUGUUGGUUAGUAGUGUUUUUCAGCUCUUUUACAUCCUUCCUUAUUUUCUAUCUACCUGCUUUAUCUAUUAUUGAAAUCUCCAACUUUAUGGAUUUGUCUAUGUCUGCUUACAGUUCUAUCCAUUUUUGCUUCAUGUCUUUUGAAGCUCUAUUAUCAGGCGCAUACGUGUUUGAGAGUCUUCUGACCUCCUGAUAAACACUGUGAAAUGGCCUCUUUACUCCUGAUCAUAUUCUUUGCUCUGAAUUCUGCUUUGUCUGGUGUGAAGGUGGAGGGAGAAUGAUCACAGAUGGAAAAAAGAGCUCCGGAAAUGGUAAGUAUAUGGAUACACAAUGAGGCUGUUCUUCCAAUUGAAUGAAAUGUCUCUGAAAGAUAACUGGACUGUUUAAUCAAACUGUUUGGCAAUAAUAGCAAAA
Long non-coding RNA from Homo sapiens (human), 530 nucleotides. NCBI's taxonomy places the organism in Eukaryota, Metazoa, Chordata, Mammalia, Primates, Hominidae. The record is from Ensembl.